This 496-nucleotide ribosomal RNA is filed under the name uncultured bacterium. RNAcentral describes it as "partial 16S ribosomal RNA". It matches the Rfam family "Bacterial small subunit ribosomal RNA", at positions 28 to 507 of the family's 1533-position model. The record is from RNAcentral.
GAUGAACGCUGGCGGCGUGCCUAAUACAUGCAAGUCGAGCGAACAGACGAGGAGCUUGCUCCUCUGACGUUAGCGGCGGACGGGUGAGUAACACGUGGAUAACCUACCUAUAAGACUGGGAUCACUUCGGGAAACCGGAGCUAAUACCGGAUAAUAUAUUGAACCGCAUGGUUCAAUAGUGAAAGACGGUUUUGCUGUCACUUAUAGAUGGUUCUCGCCGUAUUAGCUAGUUGGUAAGGUAACGGCUUAUCAAGGCGGCGACGGGUAGCCGACCUGAGAGGGUGAUCGGCCACACUGGAAGUGAGACACGGUCCAGACUCCUACGGGAGGCAGCAGUAGGGAAUCUUCCGCAGUGGGCGAAAGCCUGACGGAGCAACGCCGCGUGAGUGAUGAAGAUCUUCGGAGCGUAAAACUCUGUUAUUAGGGAAGAACAAAUGUGUAAGUAACUAUGCACGUCUUGACGGUACCUAAUCAGAAAGCCACGGCUAACUACGUG